Molecule: microRNA, 22 nt
Filed under: Macaca mulatta (Rhesus monkey)
Lineage: Eukaryota; Metazoa; Chordata; Mammalia; Primates; Cercopithecidae
Description: mml-miR-7182-5p
Source: miRBase by way of RNAcentral
AUCGCAGUUUUAGAAUCCAUGC